Octopus bimaculoides (California two-spot octopus) is the source of this 688-nucleotide long non-coding RNA. RefSeq lists it as uncharacterized. The record is from RefSeq and is a predicted model, not a curated record. NCBI's taxonomy places the organism in Eukaryota, Metazoa, Mollusca, Cephalopoda, Octopoda, Octopodidae.
CAUGUUGGAGCCAUGAUUGAAUGUAUGCAGUACACUCUAUACUAAAGUUGGUGAUAGGAAUAUUAUGCAGCCAUUAAAACCAAGCUAAAAUGAUAUGAUUGAUCAUUGGGACUGUGGCCAUGCUGGGGUACCACCUCGAAGAGUAUUUAGUCGUACAAAUGGAACCCAGGAUUUAUUUUUCUUUUUAAAGACUGAUCUGAUAGAUCUUCAUUUACCCAAACAUUGGUGUUUCGAAGUCUCUCUAGGGCACUGAAUCGUGUAUGUUGUCACCACACAUCGGUUGAAAGAAGUUGUUUUCCGAAGGCGAAACACACCAGCGAUUAGCUUAGUCACGUUCAAAUCUGCUCAAAGAUGUUAAGAAUGAAUAUACUCCUUAUUCUUUUGAUUUAUGCCGUUAUACUUCAUCAUCAUAAUUUAUUAUCAACUUUGCAGACAUCGAUACGCAUCAGCAAAUAAUUUGUUUAAAUCACAUAAACAAGAGCGACCAUUCUUGUUUAGAUUCAGUGAUCUGGUAGGGGUGGAGGUGAAAUAAUAACCUUUGAAGAGAUACAAAAUCACAUCGAAAUACCGGUGUUUCAAAGUCCUUCUACGUCUCUGUAACGUGUAUGCUGUCAACACAUAGUUUGAAGGAUGAAGUGUUUUUUGUCUGAAGGCGAAAUAAGACAGCUAUUAGGAUAUUCACGUUCAA